GUGGGGAAUCUUAGACAAUGGGCGCAAGCCUGAUCUAGCCAUGCCGCGUGAGCGAUGAAGGCCUUAGGGUUGUAAGGCUCUUUCGUGGGGGAAGAUAAUGACUGUACCCCAAGAAGAAGCCCCGGCUAACUCCGUGCCAGCAGCCGCGGUAAUACGGAGGGGGCUAGCGUUGUUCGGAAUUACUGGGCGUAAAGCGCACGUAGGCGGACUGGAAAGUCAGGGGUGAAAUCCCGGGGCUCAACCCCGGAACUGCCUUUGAAACUCCCAGUCUUGAGUUCGAGAGAGGUGAGUGGAAUUCCGAGUGUAGAGGUGAAAUUCGUAGAUAUUCGGAGGAACACCAGUGGCGAAGGCGGCUCACUGGCUCGAUACUGACGCUGAGGUGCGAAAGCGUGGGGAGCAAACAGGAUUAGAUACCCGAGUAGUCC
Molecule: ribosomal RNA, 425 nt
Filed under: uncultured bacterium
Lineage: Bacteria
Description: partial 16S ribosomal RNA
Rfam family: Bacterial small subunit ribosomal RNA
Source: RNAcentral